AUUGAACGCUGGCGGCAUGCCUAACACAUGCCAGUCGAACGGCAGCACGGGAGCUGGCUGCUGGUGGCGGGUGCCGAAGGGGUGCGGAAUACAUAGGCACAUGUCCCGACUUGGGCGUGAGCGCUAAGGAAGGCGGAUUAAUACCGCAAACGCAUAACGCCUGAAAGUGGAGGAACGGGGGCUCUCGCGCUUUAGGGUUUGAAGAUGGCGAUGUCGGAUUAGCUAGUUGGCGGGGUAAAGGCCCACCAAGGCGACGAUCCGUAGCUGGACUGAGAGGAUGAUCAGCCACACUGGAACUGAGACACGGCCCAGACUCCUACGGGAGGCAGCAGUGGGGAAUUUUGGACAAUGGGCGAAAGCCUGAUCCAGCAAUGCCGCGUGUGUGAAGAAGGCCUUCGGGUUGUAAAGCACUUUUGUCGGGAAAGAAAUCCUUGACUCUAAUACAGUCGGGGGAUGACGGUACCGGAAGAAUAAGCACCGGCUAACUACGUG
RNAcentral lists this ribosomal RNA (492 nucleotides) under uncultured bacterium. RNAcentral's name for it is "partial 16S ribosomal RNA". It matches the Rfam family "Bacterial small subunit ribosomal RNA", at positions 29 to 507 of the family's 1533-position model. The record is from RNAcentral.